GCCGGUAUGAUGGAAUUGGCAGACGUAGCGGACUCAAAAUCCGCCGGUAGCAAUACCGUGCCGGUUCGACUCCGGCUACCGGCACCA
Molecule: transfer RNA, 87 nt
Filed under: Clostridiaceae bacterium
Lineage: Bacteria; Bacillati; Bacillota; Clostridia; Eubacteriales; Clostridiaceae
Also listed under: 2 other names
Description: tRNA-Leu
Rfam family: tRNA
About the family: Transfer RNA (tRNA) molecules are approximately 80 nucleotides in length. Their secondary structure includes four short double-helical elements and three loops (D, anti-codon, and T loops). Further hydrogen bonds mediate the characteristic L-shaped molecular structure. tRNAs have two regions of fundamental functional importance: the anti-codon, which is responsible for specific mRNA codon recognition, and the 3' end, to which the tRNAs corresponding amino acid is attached (by aminoacyl-tRNA synthetases). tRNAs cope with the degeneracy of the genetic code in two manners: having more than one tRNA (with a specific anti-codon) for a particular amino acid; and 'wobble' base-pairing, i.e. permitting non-standard base-pairing at the 3rd anti-codon position.
Source: RNAcentral